Small nuclear RNA from Piliocolobus tephrosceles (Ugandan red Colobus), 123 nucleotides. Lineage: Eukaryota; Metazoa; Chordata; Mammalia; Primates; Cercopithecidae. The record is from Ensembl.
GUGCUGGCUUCGAAACUUCACUUUGGCAGCACAUAUACUAAAAAAACUGGGAUGAUACAGAGAAGAUUAGCGUGGCCCUUGCACAAGGAUGACAUGCAAAUUAGUGAAGCAUUCCAUAAAACA